GAUCCUGGCUCAGGAUGAACGCUAGCGACAGGCCUAACACAUGCAAGUCGAGGGGCAGCGGAGAGGUAGCAAUACCUUUGCCGGCGACCGGCGCACGGGUGAGUAACACGUAUGCAAUCCACCUGUAACAGGGGGGAUAACCCGGAGAAAUCCGGGCUAAUACACCAUAAUAUGGGCUCUCCGCAUGGAGGGUCCAUUAAAGAGAGCAAUUUUGGUUACAGACGAGCAUGCGCUCCA
RNAcentral lists this ribosomal RNA (237 nucleotides) under uncultured bacterium. RNAcentral's name for it is "partial 16S ribosomal RNA". It matches the Rfam family "Bacterial small subunit ribosomal RNA", at positions 15 to 240 of the family's 1533-position model. The record is from RNAcentral.